GACGAACGCUGGCGGCGUGCUUAACACAUGCAAGUCGAACGGAAAGGCCCUGCUUUUGUGGGGUGCUCGAGUGGCGAACGGGUGAGUAACACGUGAGUAACCUGCCCUUGACUUUAGGAUAACUUCAGGAAACUGGGGCUAAUACCGGAUAGGAGCUCCUGCUGCAUGGUGGGGGUUGGAAAGUUUCGGCGGUUGGGGAUGGACUCGCGGCUUAUCAGCUUGUUGGUGGGGUAGUGGCUUACCAAGGCUUUGACGGGUAGCCGGCCUGAGAGGGUGACCGGCCACAUUGGGACUGAGAUACGGCCCAGACUCCUACGGGAGGCAGCAGUGGGGAAUAUUGCACAAUGGGCGGAAGCCUGAUGCAGCAACGCCGCGUGCGGGAUGACGGCCUUCGGGUUGUAAACCGCUUUCGCCUGUGACGAAGCGUGAGUGACGGUAAUGGAUAAAGAAGCACCGGCUAACUACGUG
RNAcentral lists this ribosomal RNA (468 nucleotides) under uncultured bacterium. RNAcentral describes it as "partial 16S ribosomal RNA". It matches the Rfam family "Bacterial small subunit ribosomal RNA", at positions 28 to 507 of the family's 1533-position model. The record is from RNAcentral.